GACGAACGCUGGCGGCGUGCUUAACACAUGCAAGUCGAACGGAAAGGCCCUGCUUUUGUGGGGUGCUCGAGUGGCGAACGGGUGAGUAACACGUGAGUAACCUGCCCUUGACUUUGGGAUAACUUCAGGAAACUGGGGCUAAUACCGGAUAGGAGCUCCUGCUGCAUGGUGGGGGUUGGAAAGUUUCGGCGGUUGGGGAUGGACUCGCGGCUUAUCAGCUUGUUGGUGGGGUAGUGGCUUACCAAGGCUUUGACGGGUAGCCGGCCUGAGAGGGUGACCGGCCACAUUGGGAAUGGGGUACGGCCCAUACUCCUACGGGAGGCAGGAGGUGGGAAUAAUGCACAAUGGGCGGAAGACUGAUGCAGCAACGCCGCGUGCGGGAUGACGGCCUUCGGGGUGUAAACCGCUUUCGCCUGUGACGAAGCGUGAGUGACGGUAAUGGGUAAAGAAGCACCGGCUAACUACGUG
Molecule: ribosomal RNA, 468 nt
Filed under: uncultured bacterium
Lineage: Bacteria
Description: partial 16S ribosomal RNA
Rfam family: Bacterial small subunit ribosomal RNA
Source: RNAcentral